Molecule: ribosomal RNA, 118 nt
Filed under: Cytophagales bacterium
Lineage: Bacteria; Pseudomonadati; Bacteroidota; Cytophagia; Cytophagales
Source: RNAcentral
ACUCAGGGCGGCCAUGGCGGCGGGGCACACCCCUUCCCAUACCGAACAGGGCAGUUAAGCCCGCCAGCGCCGAUGGUACUAGGGUAAAACCAGGGAGAGUAGGACACCGCCCGUUUUU